Non-coding RNA from Triticum aestivum (bread wheat), 139 nucleotides. The record is from Rfam. NCBI's taxonomy places the organism in Eukaryota, Viridiplantae, Streptophyta, Magnoliopsida, Poales, Poaceae.
AAGGUUGAUGAAGAAGAUGUUGUUUCUCACAUCCUCGCUGGACUCGAUGAGGAGUUCGACCCGGUGGUCUCGGCCAUGUGCUCCAGGGUCGAACCAGUCACCGUCCCGGAGCUGUACUCACAGCUGCUGAGCUUUGAGA